This 253-nucleotide ribosomal RNA is filed under the name uncultured bacterium. RNAcentral describes it as "partial 16S ribosomal RNA". It matches the Rfam family "Bacterial small subunit ribosomal RNA", at positions 524 to 776 of the family's 1533-position model. The record is from RNAcentral.
UACGUAGGGGGCGAGCGUUGUCCGGAGUUACUGGGCGUAAAGCGCACGCAGGCGGUCUGCUAAGUUUGGAGUGACAGUUGGUGGCUUAACUGCCAAAGUGCUUCGAAAACUGACAGACUUGAGGGCUUCAGAGGGACACGGAAUUCCGGGUGGAGUGGUGAAAUGCGUAGAUAUUCGCAAGAACACCAGUGGCGAAGGCGGCUCACUGGCCCGAUACUGACGCUGAGGCACGAAAGCGUGGGGAGCAAACAGG